Molecule: unclassified non-coding RNA, 200 nt
Filed under: Saitozyma sp.
Lineage: Eukaryota; Fungi; Basidiomycota; Tremellomycetes; Tremellales; Trimorphomycetaceae
Description: partial internal transcribed spacer 2
Source: RNAcentral
UUAAGUUCAGCGGGUAGUCCUACCUGAUUUGAGGUCAAAGUCAAAAUUGACCGACGGGCGAUUGUAAGCAGUCAUCACAACCUUCACCGACGAAACUUAUUACGCCGACUACGGUGCUAUCCCGCUAAGUCUUUUAAGGUGAGCCGGCAGAAGCGGCAACACCCAAGUCCAAUCUCCUCGGAAACCCGAGGGAUUGAGUC